This 588-nucleotide ribosomal RNA is filed under the name Fusarium equiseti. Its description in RNAcentral is "eukaryotic LSU rRNA". The stretch from base 219 to 372 matches the Rfam family "5.8S ribosomal RNA". The record is from RNAcentral. Lineage: Eukaryota; Fungi; Ascomycota; Sordariomycetes; Hypocreales; Nectriaceae.
UCUUGGUCAAUUAGAGGAAGUAAAAGUCGUAACAAGGUCUCCGUUGGUGAACCAGCGGAGGGAUCAUUACCGAGUUUACAACUCCCAAACCCCUGUGAACAUACCUAUACGUUGCCUCGGCGGAUCAGCCCGCGCCCCGUAAAACGGGACGGCCCGCCCGAGGACCCCUAAACUCUGUUUUUAGUGGAACUUCUGAGUAAAACAAACAAAUAAAUCAAAACUUUCAACAACGGAUCUCUUGGUUCUGGCAUCGAUGAAGAACGCAGCAAAAUGCGAUAAGUAAUGUGAAUUGCAGAAUUCAGUGAAUCAUCGAAUCUUUGAACGCACAUUGCGCCCGCCAGUAUUCUGGCGGGCAUGCCUGUUCGAGCGUCAUUUCAACCCUCAAGCUCAGCUUGGUGUUGGGACUCGCGGUAACCCGCGUUCCCCAAAUCGAUUGGCGGUCACGUCGAGCUUCCAUAGCGUAGUAAUCAUACACCUCGUUACUGGUAAUCGUCGCGGCCACGCCGUUAAACCCCAACUUCUGAAUGUUGACCUCGGAUCAGGUAGGAAUACCCGCUGAACUUAAGCAUAUCAAUAAGCCGGAGGAAA